GAUGAACGCUGGCGGCGUGCCUAAUACAUGCAAGUCGAGCGAACAGACGAGGAGCUUGCUCCUCUGACGUUAGCGGCGGACGGGUGAGUAACACGUGGAUAACCUACCUAUAAGACUGGGAUAACUUCGGGAAACCGGAGCUAAUACCGGAUAAUAUAUUGAACCGCAUGGUUCAAUAGUGAAAGACGGUUUUGCUGUCACUUAUAGAUGGAUCCGCGCCGCAUUAGCUAGUUGGUAAGGUAACGGCUUACCAAGGCAACGAUGCGUAGCCGACCUGAGAGGGUGAUCGGCCACACUGGAACUGAGACACGGUCCAGACUCCUACGGGAGGCAGCAGUAGGGAAUCUUCCGCAAUGGGCGAAAGCCUGACGGAGCAACGCCGCGUGAGUGAUGAAGGUCUUCGGAUCGUAAAACUCUGUGAUUAGGGAAGAACAAAUGUGUAAGUAACUAUGCACGUCUUGACGGUACCUAAUCAGAAAGCCACGGCUAACUACGUG
Molecule: ribosomal RNA, 497 nt
Filed under: uncultured bacterium
Lineage: Bacteria
Description: partial 16S ribosomal RNA
Rfam family: Bacterial small subunit ribosomal RNA
Source: RNAcentral